UGCAAUCAGUGAUGAAACUUUCCCAAUAUAGCUGAUUUUACAGUGAUUAGCAUUAAAUAUAUUCACCAUCUUUCAGCUGAGAUUGCU
Small nucleolar RNA from Lycium barbarum (goji berry), 87 nucleotides. The record is from RefSeq and is a predicted model, not a curated record. NCBI's taxonomy places the organism in Eukaryota, Viridiplantae, Streptophyta, Magnoliopsida, Solanales, Solanaceae.